This 292-nucleotide ribosomal RNA is filed under the name uncultured bacterium. Its description in RNAcentral is "partial 16S ribosomal RNA". It matches the Rfam family "Bacterial small subunit ribosomal RNA", at positions 505 to 796 of the family's 1533-position model. The record is from RNAcentral.
GUGCCAGCAGCCGCGGUAAGACGAACCGUGCGAACGUUGUUCGGAUUCACUGGGCUUAAAGGGCGCGUAGGCGGGCCGGCGAGUCGGGGGUGAAACCGUUCGGCCCAACCGGACGAGGGCCCCCGAUACCGCCGGCCUCGAGGGGGGUAGGGGCGUGCGGAACUUCCGGUGGAGCGGUGAAAUGCGUAGAUAUCGGAAGGAACGCCGGUGGCGAAAGCGGCGCGCUGGACCCCGCCUGACGCUGAGGCGCGAAAGCCAGGGGAGCGAACGGGAUUAGAUACCCCGGUAGUCC